UUAAAGGAGUUUUUUGUUAUUUUCUGAGGGUUUUGUUUAUUUUUUAGUUUUGCAUUUUAAAGAGAGAAAUUAUUUUAUUAAAACAGAUUCAUUUUUUUAAUUUAACCUCUCUUUUUCUUUUUAGUUAAAAUAAAAUAAUCAAAGUUGGGUGACUUUUGAAAUAAUGUUGAAAAUGCUAAGAGUUUUUUUAUUAGUUUAUUAGAAGUUGAGAUUGAGACUUUUCUGGUUGUUUUAAUCAGAGUGAAAAUUUUUUUAUUAUUAUUUUUUUUUAAGAUGUUUAUAUUUUAAAUAUUUCUUUUUUAAUUAGGUUUUUUUUCAGUUGUUUUUUAGAGUCCUCGGGAUUCUUUUUUAUGAUUUUUUUCUACUGCCUAGUGAUUUUUAAACGGCACCUUUAGCGUGAUUGGUCGAAGGUAGCAAGCUAAGUUGUUUUUUUAUUGGAUUCGGGGAUGAAUGUUUUUUUUGGAAAUUUUUUUUCUUAUUUUAUUUGCAACUUGUUACGAAUUUAAAAAUUAAUUCUUGAAGUAAGACUAAGAUAAGUCUUUAGAAAUUUUUUUGUUUAAUUUUUUUUGGGGUAAAAUUUUAGUCAAUUUUAAAAACUUUAAUAUUUUGAAAAAUUUCUCUAGAGUUAACAGGAUCUUUUUACAUCGAUGUUGUCUUUAAUUUAAAUUUUUAGAGAGAUUUAAGAAUUUGAAAAAGACUGUUCUUCUUUUUUUAUUAACGUGAGAUUAGUUUAGUUCGACGUGAGUUAGAAUUGUUUAUCUAGCUUAUUUUUUUUUAAGAAAAUUUGUACGAGAGGAUCGUUUUUUAUAUUUAAUUU
Molecule: ribosomal RNA, 817 nt
Filed under: Globodera ellingtonae
Lineage: Eukaryota; Metazoa; Nematoda; Chromadorea; Rhabditida; Heteroderidae
Description: 16S ribosomal RNA
Source: RNAcentral